Molecule: non-coding RNA, 100 nt
Organism: Anaerolineaceae bacterium 4572_32.1
Lineage: Bacteria; Bacillati; Chloroflexota; Anaerolineae; Anaerolineales; Anaerolineaceae
Source: Rfam
AUGAGCGAUAGCAAAUUGCCGGAUGCCCAGGCGGGCUACGAAAAGAUGGCCACCCUGCUGCUGGCGGCCAUGGGCGGCUGCAAUUACAUCCAUCACGCCA